This 73-nucleotide transfer RNA is filed under the name Spirochaetes bacterium GWE2_31_10. RNAcentral describes it as "tRNA-Ala". It matches the Rfam family "tRNA". From Rfam's summary of the family: Transfer RNA (tRNA) molecules are approximately 80 nucleotides in length. Their secondary structure includes four short double-helical elements and three loops (D, anti-codon, and T loops). Further hydrogen bonds mediate the characteristic L-shaped molecular structure. tRNAs have two regions of fundamental functional importance: the anti-codon, which is responsible for specific mRNA codon recognition, and the 3' end, to which the tRNAs corresponding amino acid is attached (by aminoacyl-tRNA synthetases). tRNAs cope with the degeneracy of the genetic code in two manners: having more than one tRNA (with a specific anti-codon) for a particular amino acid; and 'wobble' base-pairing, i.e. permitting non-standard base-pairing at the 3rd anti-codon position. The record is from RNAcentral. Lineage: Bacteria; Pseudomonadati; Spirochaetota.
GGGGGUUUAGCUCACCUGGUAGAGCGCCAGCUUUGCAAGCUGGAUGUAAGGAGUUCGAUCCUCCUAACCUCCA